This is a long non-coding RNA of Triticum dicoccoides, 4402 nucleotides long. RefSeq lists it as uncharacterized. The record is from RefSeq and is a predicted model, not a curated record. NCBI's taxonomy places the organism in Eukaryota, Viridiplantae, Streptophyta, Magnoliopsida, Poales, Poaceae. The transcript has 7 exons.
AAAUUAACCAGCGAGGCUCCCCUCGACUCCCUCGACAUGCCUUUUCCUCGUUCGAUCGCCCGGUUCGCUCGGACGCAGAUAGACACCCACAUCUCCCACAUCCUCCUCUUUUCAACCCAACCCGCCUAGGGUUCCUAGCCCCACGUCCGCCGCCGCGCCAUGCUACUAUUUUCCAAGCGCCGUCGCAAUGGGCUCCAUCGCCGUACAACCCUCCUACCAAAUCGUUUGAUGCGAUGGGUCAUGCCGCAUCCCCAGGCCCCACAAGGUACACCCACCAGCACUACCAGAUCGGGCGGUGAAGAGGACGCAAUCCGCCGGCGACGAGGCGGGCGGCGCCACCACGUUCGUGCUUAAGCGCCUCCGGGUACCAGGCAUGCGCGUGAGGCAAGGCGCCUCCUGGGCUCUAUCGUCGCAUCACCGACAACCCCACGGCCGAGCAGGAGGAGUGCUUCCACGGAUUCAAAUAUAUGCAAGUAGAUGCAGGCUGCAGCACAUGCUUCCAUCACCUCCCUGUGUCGCUCGAGUCAUGGGCUCCAUCGUGUGACGCACUGCAAGGAUGUCAACCAUACUGCUGCAGGGUUCAGUGCCGUCAUCUUUGUCCGCAUCUUCCGCUCGGCAGAUGGAGUCUCCAUCGUUAUAUGGCUGCAGAGGUAAGUUGCUCAAAUGAUUAACAUUAUGUUUGUGCUCCAGGUCUAAAGGAGGUAGAGGAGCUCCAGUUUGAUCCUAAGGAUGGUAUUGCUUUUUUUAAAAUUAAAUUACUUGUUCGUAUCGUAAUUUCACACUGAGAAUUUUUUUUCUCAACUAUUUGCUAUCUGUUGUCCCUUCGAUGUUUUAAGUGGCCAAUUUGAGUUUGCCCGAUCACAGUUUCCACAAGCAUUGUUUGGCCUUUCAAAAGUUCUGAUAGAAAAAUUCUUACAUUCUUUCUCUUACAACCAAAAGGAGAUUCUACUUCAUGUGUUGUCUUACAAGCAACGAGGUAUGCUCCUGGUCUACAAUACUAAUGCUCCUUACCUAACAGUUGCUUGUCAUUAGUUAUAGUGCUUGGUUAAAAUAAUUAUUAUGCUCCUUGUAAAUUGUAGGCUAGCUGUCUUGCACACACCACAAAUGAAGGUUUUGGAACUCCAUUCUCCAAUAGUAUCAGUGAAUCAAACACUCCAAUCUCUCUGAAUUCUAACCCAACUUACAAUGCUAUAUAUCUGAUGCCAAGGAGUGAAAACUUGCAGCAACAUCUCCGACACCCUCUCGACGAGCUGCAAUUAGAUCAUAGCUGAGGAGGCGGCAAUGACCACUGAGGUACAACAACCACUUGACACUGAACCUAAUGCGUCCGCUUUAUCUUCAUCUACAUCAUUAAGUUCUCUUUGUGGUUUCUGAUAUUGCGGAAGCUGAAUGACAAUAGUAAUGACUGGUGGAUCCAUGUUUGCGUUUGCUGACGACAACGAUAAUGAGUUUUUACGGCUGCACUUGAUGUCUAGUGGUCUAUGCUUCUUGUUUAUAUUAUCGUUGUCUUUAAUAGUGUAUUAUAUAGUAGGUAUGGUUUCCUUUUGAUUUAGCACAUGGGCUUAUCAGUGUAGGUGGCUCAGUUUGGUUUGCUUCUUGCAAAUGUUCUGCUCCAAUUGUUCCAUUUUUAAUAACCCAGACCUGGUUUAAUUCAAAAGUGUAUUAUAUAGUAGGUAUGGUUUCCUUUUGAUUUAACACAUGGGCUUAUCAGUGUAGGUGGCUCAAUUUGGUUUGCUUCUUGCAAAUGUUCUGCUCCAAUUGUUCCAUUUUUAAUAACCCAUACCUGGUUUAGUUCAUGUUUACACAUUCAUGGAAAAAAUUAUGGUUUAGUUCUGUCCUAUGUUUAUAAAGCGGUAAAGCGAAGCGAGGCGCUAGGGGGGCGCCUCACUGCUUAAGCGAUAAAGCGUAAAGCGAGGCGACGCUUUAGACAGACUCUGAACCUGAUGGGCAGUAUAAUAGAGCACCAUUUAGUGAGACAUAUAUAUGUUGAUUCUAAUCCACCAGUGAGCCCAUAUAUUCUGAUCCAUCCACUAAGCAGUAAGCAACUAGCCAAUUGCUAUAAGAGAGGCAGUAGCACCUAACAGCAGAGGAGUUGUGCAUAGCAUAACACACAACAGAGCAGAAAAGGCUGGUGCAGAUCUGAGGAAGCUGCUGCCAGAGGAGAGAGGAAAGAGCUGAAAGCCUGGAUAUUUGCACGCUCUGGUUUUGGUUCUCUCUCUUUCUUUCCCCUCCUGUAACUGUUUCAAAUGUGAGCCCAGCCCUGUUUCCCUGCCAGGAAUCUCUGUACCCUGCCUGGCAAGUCUAAGGCGUCCUCUCUGCCUUAAAGCGCCAAUCAGGACGCCUAAGCAGGCGCUUCAGACGCUUUAGUGUCUAAGGCGGACGCCUUAGACACAUGUCUAAAGCGAGUUGGACGCUUUGAGCCUGGAGGGCGCUCUAACGCUUAAGCGUCGCUUAAGCGACGCUUUAGGGACGCUUUACAAACAGAGGUUCUGUCCAUCGAUCUCCUAUAUGAUCGUUGAGUUUUGAACUUGAUGGCAACACUAAGUUCAGACACAGAUGAUGUUCUCACUGCAAGCUCAUACCAAGCUAUUUGGUAUACUCAUUUCUAUUUGAGUUGGAUAUUUUUUUCUGUCCAGAAAGUGAUUCGAUAUUUAGAUCUUCGAAAUGCCCUUGGUGUGGUCUAGGUAAUUAGUAUUAGAGGCGAUGACACAACGGGCGGGGUUAGAAAACUGAUGAUCUAUUAUAUAUAGUGUCUUCUCUCUUUUAUGGUACGCCAUACUUGAAGUUUUUUGUUAUUGUUGGCGUCAGUCUUGGCUCGUUUAGAAUUAAUGAACAUAAUCAUGAAUAAUAGGUUCGCGUCAGUCUUGGCUUGUUAAGAAUUAAUGAACAUAAUUGUGAAUAACAGGUCAAGAACAGAACGUUCAAGAAGGGUUAAACUUGUUAAUGCAGCAGCAUGUUUUUCAUGGCCUCCUUAUAUCUUAUAUUUAUCCUAAGUUUGGGUUUCCUUUAUUUUCUGGACGAAACAAACAAUCUAUGUUUUGUACGAAUGGUUAAAGAAGAGGCUAUCUUUCUAUUUGAUUGUUGCUUAAAGGAAGAGGGUUAAUAUUAUUCCGUAUGAUGCCUAUAAAAAACAUCAUAACUGAAUACGGUAUUGGUUAUUUUGCGUUACGUUUGAGGCCAUUUAUGUUUUUCUAGAAUUACUCUUUUUUCCAGCUCAAAUAUCAAUGUCCUCUGGUAUACUUAUAACUGUUAAAAUAUUCCUUUUUGUUCCUGCUUAAAACAUAUUGUUUGCUCUUUGCAGGGUGAUCGUAUCCAUGCUACCAUUCUGCAGUAUCUUGAGAUUUCUACAGUGGAGUAGUACACAACUACGUAUCACAAGUUUGAGCUUAGAUGAACAACAUGGGCACCAUCAAACGGAUAGAUCAUGUGCCUGAUGGGUCUCAUGAUGGAGUAGUUGAUAAUGGUUAUAUACAAAACAUAUCUUGACAGAGGUGGCGCCAGACGUCACAGAGAGGUACCGCGUUCGGUCCAACGAGGAGCUCCGGGCAUGGUGGGCGGUGGCCAUGGCAUUGGCCUCAUGGGUUUACUCUGACUGCCGCCGGUCAUUCUCGCAAACAAUGGCUUAGGUUUUGAGGAGGAUUAGCAUGUCACCACAUAACAACUUUGUAAGUGUGAUGUAAUACUGGCGAAUGUAUGCAUUCACACAAUCAAAGGAUUGAAUUGUGCGAAUGAUUCAUACUCCAUAUCUUUUUACCUAUCUAGACUCUAGAUCAUAUGGGAAUAACCACAGUUGCUUACCUCAGCAAAUAGCAACAUCACUGCACUUGGUCCUUUUCUGCCCUUCAACAAGUUGGCCCCAGACAUAUCUUGCUUGCUUGCUGAUCUGGUGAUUGUUCAACACAACUGGUUUUUUGUCUAUCUGUUACAUACCAAAUGAGAUCAUUCACCAGCACACUCAAGCAGAAGUAGCAAUAGAAGACACAUAUGUCUGAUGUGCUCAAGAGAAUGACGUCUCUACAAUCUGGAUGUUGCCCAGAUAGCAGAGAUCAUAAAAACAGGAGAAUCAUGGGUAAGGUGCCCCUUUCAAGUCAAUCCUUCUUAGAAGGGAUGCAACAUGUUAGUAAUUGUAUAGAUGGUUCAAUUGAUUGUGAAGUGUGUGUUCAUGGAGGUGGAAGGGGGCAUUGCGAGCCGGAUUUGUCACUACUGAGGUGGCGAACAUGGACUAGGGUUGCGGAGUGCAAAUGAAGCUAAAGACAACAUAUAAUUAUUUAGAUCAUUUCUCCCUAUAUACAUGGUUGAGUUAAAUUGCGAGUGAAGUGUAUUUCAAUUAUAUUAUGAUUGUUGUAGGAUAUAUUUUUUAUACAUACAAAAUUUUAUAUGUAUUAUAUUUACAGGUGCAAUU